ACUCUCUGCUGCAAGGUGUCGGGUGUUUAAAAGAGUAAACAACAAUAGGAAGGUACCUGCACAAGAGUUUUAUGUCUGUUUAGGGAUGUGGGAAUAUAUUCCCUAUAUCCUCCCCAAAUAAAUAGAUUUUUUCUACAUUGAAUUGUAAUGUGGUAUUAUCUGGGUUUUUUAUUUAUCCAAAUGAGUGGUUUGGAGUUUGGACUACUCAAUUCGACUCAGCUAAACUCGAGUCAAACUUAUUGGGGUUGGCAAAUAUCUAGUUUAAAUUAUCAAAGGAAAAUAUACGCACCAUGUUAUGCAACUGGUCUACUUUCCAUAUUAUUUAAGUUUAUCUACAUUCUCAAAUUGCAAAAUUAAGAUACCUGACAGAUGUGUGUUUUGCUUUACACAAUCAAAAGUUAUUGGCUCUGAAGAUUGAACUUUCCCUCCAAUCUUUUGGUUUGAUAGAGAACAGAAGAAGAAGCCAUUUCCCACCGAUUGACGGGCCCUUGUCAUCAUCCGUUAGGCGUA
Molecule: unclassified non-coding RNA, 510 nt
Filed under: Hevea brasiliensis (rubber tree)
Lineage: Eukaryota; Viridiplantae; Streptophyta; Magnoliopsida; Malpighiales; Euphorbiaceae
Source: RNAcentral